Molecule: ribosomal RNA, 429 nt
Filed under: Pseudomonadota bacterium
Lineage: Bacteria; Pseudomonadati; Pseudomonadota
Description: Proteobacteria bacterium partial 16S ribosomal RNA
Rfam family: Bacterial small subunit ribosomal RNA
Source: RNAcentral
UGGGGAAUAUUGGACAAUGGGCGAAAGCCUGAUCCAGCCAUGCCGCGUGUGUGAAGAAGGUCUUCGGAUUGUAAAGCACUUUAAGUUGGGAGGAAGGGCAGUAAGCGAAUACCUUGCUGUUUUGACGUUACCGACAGAAUAAGCACCGGCUAACUCUGUGCCAGCAGCCGCGGUAAUACAGAGGGUGCAAGCGUUAAUCGGAAUUACUGGGCGUAAAGCGCGCGUAGGUGGUUCGUUAAGUUGAAUGUGAAAGCCCCGGGCUCAACCUGGGAACUGCAUCCAAAACUGGCGGGCUAGAGUAGGGCAGAGGGUGGUGGAAUUUCAUGUGUAGCGGUGAAAUGCGUAGAUAUAGGAAGGAACACCAGUGGCGAAGGCGACCACCUGGGCUCAUACUGACACUGAGGUGCGAAAGCGUGGGGAGCAAACAGG